RNAcentral lists this ribosomal RNA (174 nucleotides) under uncultured Streptomyces sp. RNAcentral's name for it is "partial 16S ribosomal RNA". It matches the Rfam family "Bacterial small subunit ribosomal RNA", at positions 338 to 524 of the family's 1533-position model. The record is from RNAcentral. Lineage: Bacteria; Bacillati; Actinomycetota; Actinomycetes; Kitasatosporales; Streptomycetaceae.
CCUACGGGAGGCAGCAGUGGGGAAUAUUGCACAAUGGGCGAAAGCCUGAUGCAGCGACGCCGCGUGAGGGAUGACGGCCUUCGGGUUGUAAACCUCUUUCAGCAGGGAAGAAGCGAAAGUGACGGUACGUGCAGAAGAAGCGCCGCCUAACUACGUGCCAGCAGCCGCGGUAAU